This 2477-nucleotide long non-coding RNA is filed under the name Gossypium barbadense (sea-island cotton). RNAcentral describes it as "long non-coding RNA (GBAR_LNC009014)". The record is from RNAcentral. Lineage: Eukaryota; Viridiplantae; Streptophyta; Magnoliopsida; Malvales; Malvaceae.
CUCGUGCUAUUGCAUCCUCUUUCCUUCUCAACUCCUGCAAAAUAUAAAGUUAACAUUCAUUUACUAUAAGGACAAAUUAAUCUAAGAGCAAAAUGAAUAGCAAAACCACCUUACAAACACCACAGUUACAUAUUGCAUCCGAACAUAUAAGAAUCAAGUCAUUGCAUAAUUUUAGUAUUUUCAUAAUAAAAAGACUACAAAACAUAAAGAUAUUUUACAAGCAUUCAGACUGAAAAACUAAACUGAUAUAUGAAUAGGAAAUUCAUAUUCAAAAACUAUGGUUUUAAUUUUUUUGUGCGAAGAUAGCAGUAUUUAAAUUACUUUAGAAAUAUGUAUAAUUUGUAACUACAAUGUGAAACGAACAACUUAUCACAAUUGAUAUUGAAUACCGCAAAAAUAAAUCGAAAGCACCACACUUGUUAUUCAAGGGCCAGCCUCACUCGAGUGUAAACAGCCACCAACAAAUUACCUGUUCAUGCUUAUUUAGUUUAGCCUCUUUUGCUUUAUGUUCCUUCUCUCUUGCUUUUAGAUCCUAGAUUUGAUAAGACAAAAACAUCAAAAGAAGUCUAUGAUUUUAAUGAUAUAUAUUUUAAUCAUUUUGUGACCAAAGAAUGGAUGUUGGAUGGAAAAUAUAAUUGAAAACUUAUUUUUUGCAAGCAUAGCACUAGGAUUCCAACUUUUUCUUCAUUGGCAACCAAUAAAGCAAGGCCAGUACAAGGGUUCUAUACGUCAAACUUAGGGCUAAUCUUCCUAUUGCUUUGGGAGGGUAGUGGAGUUAGGCAUCAUCACCAUGCCAAUUUUUGUAAAGCUAAACUAAGCUUUGAUACACACACAUAUACAACUGAUAUCCAUAAAUAUACCACACAGAAGUAAGGUUUGCAUUCCUAAGUGUAAUAUUAUAUAUAAUUUGGAGAAAAUAACCAACAAGUGAUCUUCAAAUCUUUAUUGACCUUUUUUCCCCACAAAACAAUAAUAGACUUGUGCAAACUUUUAUAUGGCAAGUUCAGAGUUCAUUCAUAUAGAUUAAUAAGAAAAUGCAUUGAAACUACUCAGUUUUUAUAUAUUUUUUUUACUUCAUUCAUUGCGAACAAAAUAUCAUAUGAUGAGUACAACGUGAAACAAGUUCCCACAUAUCUAAAGCUGAUAGCUCCACUAAAUCUUAGCUAAUCUCAAACCGGAAGACUUAAUCUACAACUUUUUUUAAUAAGUGAAACAAAAAUAUUGACGAGACUUGAAUUUCAACAUUAAAUUUGUAUCGUUUUAUUUAUGUUUAUAUCUAGGAAUUUCAAGCUCUUAAAGAGUGAUGAUUUCAUGCAAAAUGGUGGAUGCUAUAACAAUCUAAGGAUCAUCCUCAAUGAGGCUUCAAUAAGAUGACAAGUGAUCCUUCUAAAACUUUAGAAUAUCUCUAGAAGCCAUGUGCAAGAUCAGUCCUGAGCUUAUUAGAUGUUCUCUGUCAAAUGGUUGUAUAAAUACUAAUAAAUUAAAUGUAGUAAUAAGAUUUAUUGUACUUCAAAGUUUAAACUCUAAAAUUAACAUUGAAAAAAAUAACUUUUAUGAAUGAUAUAAUAGCAUAAAAAAUAUCGUCUAUCAUAUAAAAAACCUCAAUUAUUGAUGGUUUUUUACUUAUUAGUUUUAAUUAAUCAUGAGGUCUCAAAACAACCACGAUUGUUACUAACGCUAAAAACAAGAUAGUGGAUGUACCUUGUGAAAAAAACAAAUUAUUUCUCUUGUAAUUUAUAUGAAAAUUUAAACCAUUUAAACACAAAAUGCAAAAUACAAACACAGUUCCUGCUCAGAGCCCCCCGGUAAACAAUCAACAGGUUUCUAAUUUCAACUUAACAUUUUCCCUUCCUUUUUUGGCUUAAAAAUCAAAGUUUUUAUGAUUUUUUUAUAUUUUUCUUGUCAAAUUUACUAUUAAUAUUAUAUUUGAAGUUUAUAUUUGUCUCUUUCAAUAAUAUUACCUUCAAUUAAACAUACAUUCUUUUUUCAAAAUGUAAUAUAGGUUAUCACUUCACUCAAUAUUUUUUCAUCUAUCAAUUCAAGUUUUUAUGACAUAGGCAGAAUCAAACUAGAAAUCUUCUUAUAAAAUUAGCUACCUAUAAUUGUUUCAAAGCUACAACUUAGGGUAAGUAAUCUAUCAAGGUAUUUUCCCCUGAUUCUGGCAACCUCAGCACACUUUUUCUCUGGAUAUUAAAAAUCCAUAAAUUAAUGAAAAGUAGCCAAAGAAUAGCUAAUACAUGAUCAGUAGUAACAUACCAAAAUCAUGCUCAAUCUUGAAGCUGCUUUUAGUUAUAUCUGUUGAUAUAUCACUACAAAACCAUCAGGAUGUAAAGUCAACUAAUACCCUAUUUUUAGACCUUAACGUAGACAAAAACCACAAAAUUUAAAGUAGGACAAGAAUUCAAAUUCAAGUUAAGAUAUACUUUAAUUCCAAGUUAAAAAAAAAGAAAUAAGAAUCCGAUCAUCAUAAAUUCAAG